AAUCAAACACAGGGGAGCUCGUGCAGCGGGCUGAGAGGAAGUAUAGCAAGCUUCGACCCUUUUACCUGAUGCGGAUAAUGCCGCCGUAGGAAGUCAUACCCUUUAUGAU
RNAcentral lists this non-coding RNA (109 nucleotides) under Faecalibacterium prausnitzii. RNAcentral describes it as "TPP sequence". It matches the Rfam family "TPP riboswitch aptamer (THI element)". Rfam says of the family: Vitamin B(1) in its active form thiamin pyrophosphate (TPP) is an essential coenzyme that is synthesised by coupling of pyrimidine and thiazole moieties in bacteria. The previously detected thiamin-regulatory element, thi box was extended, resulting in a new, highly conserved RNA secondary structure, the THI element, which is widely distributed in eubacteria and also occurs in some archaea. RNAcentral also lists the same sequence under 1 other name. The record is from RNAcentral. Lineage: Bacteria; Bacillati; Bacillota; Clostridia; Eubacteriales; Oscillospiraceae.